Carya illinoinensis is the source of this 1103-nucleotide long non-coding RNA. RefSeq lists it as uncharacterized. The transcript has 2 exons. The record is from RefSeq and is a predicted model, not a curated record. Lineage: Eukaryota; Viridiplantae; Streptophyta; Magnoliopsida; Fagales; Juglandaceae.
AUCCCAUAUGUUACGGCGAAAAGACAUUGUCCCAAAUAAUUUACCUGCAAAUGUAUGGCUGAUCAGUUUCAAAUGUUUACAAUGACAUGAAUUCACCGCUUAAGAGUUUUCAUGACAAUUUUCAAGGGGGAUCCUUAACUCGUUGCAAGAGUCAAUUAUUUUGUGAUUAUUUUUGUAGUUGCAAAUAAAAUCGCUACAGAUAAUCAAAUUUAUUGAUUUUUGCGGCGAUAUUGGUACGCCAAUAAUUUUGCUUGCUAUAUUUAACUUUUUGCUUCCCUUCUUUUGACCUUCACCCCAGCCCGAUUAUCUGUUCUCUCUGAGUUUUCUACUGCCUCUCCUCAACUCGUGCCUACUGCCAUUUCGUCUCUUCUUGCCGAUGAGUCUCUCAAUCAUCCGUCUCUCUCUUUCUUUCUCUUCACCGUCUCUCCGUCUCUCUCUCGCACUCGUCCUGCUCACUCUCUCCAUCCAUCGCUGCCUCGCACUCAUCCCGCUCACUCUGUCUAGUUGAUGAGCCUCUGCCCCACAGUCACGUCGCCGUUGCCUAAGGCCUUCAGAUUGCUUCUCGAAGUCUUCUCAAUGAGAUUAACAUUCCAGAUCAGUGCUCUAAAAUGGGUACGUCUGGUGUGACCGCCAUUGCUUGAAUGAAACAACAUUAAGUUCUGAACAGACUUGCAACGGUAAGAAUCUUUCUAUAAGUUUUGGCUCUGACAGAUCACCUGAGUUCUCUCAAGUAAUACUGGGAUCAAGUUAUCUUCAAGUAAUUCAGGAGAUACUUGCUCAUAUUGCAAACUAUUCAAUAGCAAAUCGCCGACUUAUGAGUUAUCCAACUGCUAGGAAUGAGGCUAGUUCAAAUAUACCAUUCUCUUCAAGUUUCCCUGUUGAAAAAUGGAUGUCUUCCACAGUUCCUGUACAACCACUGAUCCAUUUGAUGAUCUUGUGCAACCAGUUAUUGCUCUUUUUCAUUCUUUCCUUUAAAUCUUGCAUUUGGUUUUAGCUUUACGUAUUGUGGAUUCAUUUUAGAAAAAUGCUGUGAUAAAAAACAAUUGUGAAGCUAAUUUUAUUUGCUUAGGAAUUAUAAAAUAUUUCAACGAUUUCUAACUUUA